Molecule: ribosomal RNA, 365 nt
Filed under: uncultured bacterium
Lineage: Bacteria
Description: bacterial SSU rRNA
Rfam family: Bacterial small subunit ribosomal RNA
Source: RNAcentral
GAUGAACGCUGGCGGCGUGCCUAAUACAUGCAAGUCGAGCGGUAAGGCUCCUACAGGUUAUUCGAUCACGACAGCUUCGGUUGUCGCAGCAAACCCAAUCAACCCCGGCUAGGGAAGAGAGGGCGAGGGAAGAUCGAAUGGCGUGUUGGAGUACACGAGCGGCGGACGGCUGAGUAACACGUAGGAACGUACCCCAAAGUGAGGGAUAAGCACCAGAAAUGGUGUCUAAUACCGCAUGUGCUCUUCGGAGGAAAGCUUCGGCGCUUUGGGAACGGCCUGCGCAUGAUUAGCUUGUUGGUGAGGUAAUAGCUCACCAAGGCGACGAUCAUUAGCUGGUCUGAGAGGAUGAUCAGCCAGACUGGGAC